This 253-nucleotide ribosomal RNA is filed under the name uncultured bacterium. RNAcentral's name for it is "partial 16S ribosomal RNA". It matches the Rfam family "Bacterial small subunit ribosomal RNA", at positions 524 to 776 of the family's 1533-position model. The record is from RNAcentral.
CACGUAGGGCGCGAGCGUUGUCCGGAAUCAUUGGGCGUAAAGCGCGCGUAGGCGGCCAGAUAAGUCCGGUGUGAAAGUCACAGGCUCAACCUGUGAAUGCCGCUGGAAACUGUCUGGCUGGAGUACGGUAGGGGCAGAGGGAAUUUCCGGUGGAGCGGUGAAAUGCAUUGAGAUCGGAAAGAACACCAACGGCGAAAGCACUCUGCUGGGCCGACACUGACACUGAGAGACGAAAGCUAGGGGAGCAAAUGGG